This 652-nucleotide long non-coding RNA is filed under the name Cyanistes caeruleus (blue tit). RNAcentral's name for it is "lncRNA (ENSCCEG00000008271.1)". The record is from RNAcentral. Lineage: Eukaryota; Metazoa; Chordata; Aves; Passeriformes; Paridae.
UCCCCAGCCUGGUGUGAGGAUGUGGCACUCACUGAUCAGGAGACUCUCACCCAAGAUUUGCUGAAUCACUGGCUCUCCCUGAUCCACUCUGCCAGGGAAGGGAGUGCAGGAGUUUUUGUGUGGGAAUUACCAGGGAAAACCCUCUAAGAAGGAUAAAAAUAAUGAUGCUGCUUUUCUCACCCCAGGCCACACUGAGAAACCAGUGAAUGCUGGAGUGGGGCUUGUGGGGUUUUCCAGUUGGAGCUGGAGUUCCAUAAAAACAGCAAAGCCACCAAACUGCCCAUGGGUACCUGUCUGAGCAGCCCCAGGAGCCUCCUCUGGCUGAGCUGGGGAUGGAACAGCUUCCAAUGUCCCAUGGGGAACUCCAGAGCCCAGGGAAAGUGCAAAAAGGCAGGAAUGGACUUCCAGUGGGAUGAGGAGGCUGGAGAAAAUCUCCUUCCAUAUCACACCUUGGUCACAUCACUCAGCCCUGCUGGGAGCUCCAGGAGGUGAGAAAUGUCACCAAUGCAGGUUUGCUGCUGUCCCUCAGAUGUUUUGCCAUCCAGUUUGGGCACUCCAGGAAGAAUUUGCUGCAUCACAAGCUGGAAGCACUGAGGAGUCCAGAGCUGCUUUCCUGAAGACCAAUAUUUUUUAUUGUCUUCUGCCCAAUUAA